AGCAGCCGCGGUAAUUCCAGCUCCAAUAGCGUAUAUUAAAGUUGUUGCAGUUAAAAAGCUCGUAGUUGAAUUUCGGGAUCAAUAUAUUGGUCAUGCUUAGGUAUGUACUGGUAUUAUUGAUUUCUCCCUUCUGAAGAACCAUAAUGUCAUUAAUUUGAUGUCAUGGGGAAUCAGGACUGUUACUUUGAAAAAUUAGAGUGUUUAAAGCAGGCUUUCGCUUGAAUACAUUAGCAUGGAAUAAUGAAAUAGGACGUUUGAUUCUAUUUUGUUGGUUUCUAGGAUCGACGUAAUGAUUAAUAGAGAUAGUUGGGGGCAUUAGUAUUCAAUUGUCAGAGGUGAAAUUCUUGGAUUUAUUGAAGACUAACUACUGCGAAAGCAUUUGCCAAGGAUGUUUUCAUUAAUCAAGGACGAAAGUUAGGGGAUCGAAGACGAUCAGAUACCGUCGUAGUCUUAACCAUAAACUAUGCCGACUAGGGAUCGGAUGAUGUUAACUUUUUAUGA
RNAcentral lists this ribosomal RNA (501 nucleotides) under uncultured Glomus. Its description in RNAcentral is "SSU rRNA". It matches the Rfam family "Eukaryotic small subunit ribosomal RNA", at positions 569 to 1074 of the family's 1831-position model. The record is from RNAcentral. Lineage: Eukaryota; Fungi; Glomeromycota; Glomeromycetes; Glomerales; Glomeraceae.